RNAcentral lists this ribosomal RNA (253 nucleotides) under uncultured bacterium. RNAcentral describes it as "partial 16S ribosomal RNA". It matches the Rfam family "Bacterial small subunit ribosomal RNA", at positions 524 to 776 of the family's 1533-position model. The record is from RNAcentral.
UACGAAGGGAGCAAGCGUUGCUCGGAUUUAUUGGGCGUAAAGGGUGUGUAGGCGGUUUGAUAAGUUAGAUGUGAAAGCCCAGGGCUUAACCCUGGAAUUGCAUUUAAGACUGUUAGACUUGAAGAUUGGAGAGGUAAGCAGAAUUCCCAGUGUAGAGGUGAAAUUCGUAGAUAUUGGGAAGAAUACCAAUGGCGUAGGCAGCUUACUGGCCAAAUCUUGACGCUGAGGCACGAAAGCGUGGGGAGCAAACAGG